RNAcentral lists this unclassified non-coding RNA (374 nucleotides) under uncultured bacterium. RNAcentral's name for it is "contains 16S-23S intergenic spacer region". The record is from RNAcentral.
UCCGGUUUGUCACCGGCAGUCUCAUUAGAGUGCCCUUGCGUAGCAACUAAUGAUAAGGGUUGCGCUCGUUGCGGGACUUAACCCAACAUCUCACGACACGAGCUGACGACAGCCAUGCAGCACCUGUGUUCCGAUUCCCUUUCGGGCACACUCGCCUCUCAGCGAGCUCUCGGACAUGUCAAACCCAGGUAAGGUUCUUCGCGUUGCCUCGAAUUAAACCACACGCUCCGCUGCUUGUGCGGGCCCCCGCCUAUUCCUUUGAGUUUUAACCUUGCGGCCGUAGUCCCCAGGCGGUGAACUUAAUGCGUUAGCUGCGGCACUGAUCGGGUCAAUCCGACCAACACCUAGUUCACAACGUUUAGGGCGUGGACUAC